Molecule: ribosomal RNA, 249 nt
Filed under: uncultured bacterium
Lineage: Bacteria
Description: partial 16S ribosomal RNA
Rfam family: Bacterial small subunit ribosomal RNA
Source: RNAcentral
AGGUAACACGUGGGCAACCUGCCAAAGAGGGGAGUAACACUUGGAACAGGUGCUAAUACCGCAUAACCAUAGUUACCGCAUGGUAGCUAUGUAAAAGGUGGCUAUGCUACCGCUUUUGGAUGGGCCCGCGGCGCAUUAGCUAGUUGGUGGGGUAAAGGCUUACCAAGGCAAUGAUGCGUAGCCGAACUGAGAGGUUGAUCGGCCACAUUGGGACUGAGACACGGCCCAAACUCCUACGGAAGGCAGCAG